AGACUCCGCGGAGAACGCGAGCAUGGUCGGAAAUCAUCGCCUUUAUUUCUUGGCGGGUCUCGAGGGAAGGUCGGGAACGGGCGGGUCCUGCUGGCCUAGAGGGCGUCAGGGGCAGCCACCGGCGGCUCGGGAUCCUCCUCGUCGCGAGCGCGGGGGAGCUCAGGUCCGGCCUGCCGGGGGCUGGGUGAGGCUGCGGACCAGGUUCCUACGCUCCUCGCGUCCGCCCGCGUCUGCCCUAGGCCUCCACCGCGGCUUCCUCUGUCCCCGGGGCCGCCCUGCUCCCCACAGACCCCACUCUCGGGGGCCGCUCCCAGGACCCCCGCCCGCUCUCUCCUGACUCGGUCCCUGCCCGCCCCGCCUCCCUUCCUCGGGCUCCCUACCUCUCCCUCGCCGGCCCCGACCUCGGGGGCGCUCCGGACCUGCUCCCCGAAUAUCUCCAGCUCCGCCUUCAGCCUGCGGAGAAGGGGCCGAGGAGACAGGAGGAAGAGAGCGAGAGUCCAGGGGACGAGGAGGAAGCCACCGAGACGCGGAGACCCGACGACGCCGAGGGAGGCACAGGCCGGGGAAGCGGCAGUCGGGGGCGGAGCGGGGGACCUGGGCGGGUUCCCCUCCGCCCUGCCCCUGCCCUCCUCGCCCACUCCUCCCUUCCCCUCUCACCCGUCAUUCACCGCCAUGGCGCCCUCGACCUCAGGCGGCGAGUGCAGCCGCCGCUCCACCUCCCGCAGCUUGGCGCGCACCAGCCUCCCUGUCGGUGGGCGGGCGUCAGGGGCAGGGCCGAGGCCCGGGCACAUCCCCCUCCCCCCGCCCACCUGGCGCGGGAGGCUCACUCUCCGAGAGCAGCUGCUCCUUGCUUCUCUCCAGGGCACGGAUCUCCCGGGCCAGUCGCUGCUCCAGCAUCUGCGAGGACAAAGAGGAGGCCUCCCCGUUUGGCCGUCCUCUUGGCUACACGGCCCGCCCCUCCCCUUUUGUGCUUCUCGCGAAGUCUUCACCUACAUUAGGUCAUUCAUUCAUUCAACUAUUUAUUAACUCAAUGUGCAGUUCCUGCUGUGGCUGGAGACCCACCCACCUCCCCCUAAACGCUCUCCAUGUCUCCAGGCACCUCUCAAACUUGAACUCUUCCCACUCUCCUCAUCCUCCAUUCCCCAAUCUGCGGCUCCUCAACGGUUUCAGGCACCGUCCAGCCCCAGGGCCUUCCUUCUGCACCGAUACCUG
This 1212-nucleotide long non-coding RNA is filed under the name Homo sapiens (human). RNAcentral's name for it is "non-protein coding lnc-ADAMTS18-12:2". The record is from RNAcentral. Lineage: Eukaryota; Metazoa; Chordata; Mammalia; Primates; Hominidae.